AACGUAGGACGCAAGCGUUAUCCGGAGUUACUGGGCGUAAAGCGCGGGCAGGCGGUUCGAUGCGUCUGAUGUGAAAUCUCCUCGCUCAACGGGGAGAGGCCAUUGGAAACGGUCGGGCUGGAGGGCAGUAGAGGCAGGCGGAAUUCCGGGUGGAGUGGUGAAAUGCGUAGAGAUCCGGAGGAACACCAGAGGCGAAGGCGGCCUGCUGGGCUGCACCUGACGCUGAGCCGCGAAAGCCAGGGGAGCGAACGGG
RNAcentral lists this ribosomal RNA (253 nucleotides) under uncultured bacterium. RNAcentral describes it as "partial 16S ribosomal RNA". It matches the Rfam family "Bacterial small subunit ribosomal RNA", at positions 524 to 776 of the family's 1533-position model. The record is from RNAcentral.